This 253-nucleotide ribosomal RNA is filed under the name uncultured bacterium. Its description in RNAcentral is "partial 16S ribosomal RNA". It matches the Rfam family "Bacterial small subunit ribosomal RNA", at positions 524 to 776 of the family's 1533-position model. The record is from RNAcentral.
UACGAAGGUCCCAAGCGUUAUCCGGAUUUAUUGGGUUUAAAGGGUGCGUAGGCGGACUAUUAAGUCAGUGGUGAAAUCUCCAUGCCUAACAUGGAAACUGCCAUUGAUACUGAUGGUCUUGAGUACAUUUGAAGUGGGCGGAAUGUGUCAUGUAGUGGUGAAAUACUUAGAUAUGACACAGAACACCGAUUGCGUAGGCAGCUCACUAAACUGUAACUGACGCUGAGGCACGAAAGCGUGGGGAGCAAACAGG